GAACGCUAGCGGGAGGCUUAACACAUGCAAGUCGAGGGGUAGGGAAGCAAUUCCUGAGACCGGCGGACGGGUGCGUAACGCGUAUGCAACUUACCUUAUACAGGGGGAUAGCCCGUGGAAACGCGGAUUAACACCCCAUAUGACAAUGAUUCUGCAUGGGAUUAUUGUUAAAACUGAGGUGGUAUAAGAUAGGCAUGCGUCUGAUUAGCUGGUUGGUAAGGAAACGGCUUAC
RNAcentral lists this ribosomal RNA (232 nucleotides) under uncultured bacterium. RNAcentral describes it as "partial 16S ribosomal RNA". It matches the Rfam family "Bacterial small subunit ribosomal RNA", at positions 31 to 268 of the family's 1533-position model. The record is from RNAcentral.